UCGGGAAUUUUGUGCAAUGGGCGAAAGCCUGACACAGCAACGCCGCGUGAAGGAUGAAGCCCCUCGGGAUGUAAACUUCGUAAGAAUAGGAAGAAUAAAUGACGGUACUAUUUGUAAGGUCCGGCUAACUACGUGCCAGCAGCCGCGGUAAUACGUAGGGACCAAGCGUUGUUCGGAUUUACUGGGCGUAAAGGGUGCGUAGGCGGCAUAUCAAGUCACUUGUGAAAUCUCCGGGCUUAACUCGGAACUGCCAAGUGAUACUGAUGUGCUAGAGUGCAGAAAGGGCAACUGGAAUUCUUGGUGUAGCGGUGAAAUGCGUAGAUAUCAAGAGGAACACCUGAGGCGAAGGCGAGUUGCUAGGCUGACACUGACGCUGAGGUACGAAAGCUAGGGGAGCGAACGGGAUUAGAUACCCGAGUAGUCCCUGAGCGGGCUGGCAAGGCGCAU
This 447-nucleotide ribosomal RNA is filed under the name uncultured bacterium. RNAcentral's name for it is "bacterial SSU rRNA". It matches the Rfam family "Bacterial small subunit ribosomal RNA", at positions 355 to 825 of the family's 1533-position model. The record is from RNAcentral.